ACCAACUGCUUCUGGCGAUCCAUGUGGGGACAAAUGACACAGCCAGGCAGGGGGCGGGUGGGAUCACCAGAGACUUUGAGGACUUGGGAAAGAAACUCA
Varanus komodoensis (Komodo dragon) is the source of this 99-nucleotide long non-coding RNA. RefSeq lists it as uncharacterized. The transcript is spliced from 3 exons. Lineage: Eukaryota; Metazoa; Chordata; Lepidosauria; Squamata; Varanidae. The record is from RefSeq and is a predicted model, not a curated record.